CACGUAGUUAGCCGGUGCUUCUUUACCCAUUACCGUCACUCACGCUUCGUCACAGGCGAAAGCGGUUUACAACCCGAAGGCCGUCAUCCCGCACGCGGCGUUGCUGCAUCAGGCUUCCGCCCAUUGUACAAUAUUCCCCACUGCUGCCUCCCGUAGGAGUCUGGGCCGUAUCUCAGUCCCAAUGUGGCCGGUCACCCUCUCAGGCCGGCUACCCGUCAAAGCCUUGGUAAGCCACUACCCCACCAACAAGCUGAUAAGCCGCGAGUCCAUCCCCAACCGCCGAAACUUUCCAACCCCACCAUGCAGCAGGAGCUCCUAUCCGGUAUUAGCCCCAGUUUCCUGAAGUUAUCCCAAAGUCAAGGGCAGGUUACUCACGUGUUACUCACCCGUUCGCCACUCGAGCACCCCACAAAAGCAGGGCCUUUCCGUUCGACUUGCAUGUGUUAAGCACGCCGCCAGCGUUCGUCCUGAGCCAGGACAAACUACU
RNAcentral lists this ribosomal RNA (487 nucleotides) under uncultured Propionibacterium sp. Its description in RNAcentral is "partial 16S ribosomal RNA". The record is from RNAcentral. Lineage: Bacteria; Bacillati; Actinomycetota; Actinomycetes; Propionibacteriales; Propionibacteriaceae.